Molecule: ribosomal RNA, 301 nt
Filed under: uncultured bacterium
Lineage: Bacteria
Description: partial 16S ribosomal RNA
Rfam family: Bacterial small subunit ribosomal RNA
Source: RNAcentral
CAGUAGCCGCGGUAACACGAAGGGUGCAAGCGUUAAUCGGAAUUACUGGGCGUAAAGGGCGCGUAGGCGGACAGUUAAGUUGGGGGUGAAAGCCCGGGGCUCAACCUCGGAAUUGCCUUCAAUACUGGCUGUCUUGAGUAUGAGAGAGGUGUGUGGAACUCCGAGUGUAGAGGUGAAAUUCGUAGAUAUUCGGAAGAACACCAGUGGCGAAGGCGACACACUGGCUCAUUACUGACGCUGAGGCGCGAAAGCGUGGGGAGCAAACAGGAUUAGAUACCCCGGUAGUCCCUGUCUCUUAUAC